AACGAACGCUGGCGGCAUGCCUAACACAUGCAAGUCGAACGAGACCUUCGGGUCUAGUGGCGCACGGGUGCGUAACGCGUGGGAACCUGCCCUUAGGUUCGGAAUAACUCCCCGAAAGGGGUGCUAAUACCGGAUAAUGUCUUCGGACCAAAGAUUUAUCGCCAUUGGAUGGGCCCGCGUUGGAUUAGCUAGUUGGUAGGGUAAAAGCCUACCAAGGCGACGAUCCAUAGCUGGUCUGAGAGGAUGAUCAGCCACACUGGGACUGAGACACGGCCCAGACUCCUACGGGAGGCAGCAGUGGGGAAUAUUGGACAAUGGGCGAAAGCCUGAUCCAGCAAUGCCGCGUGAGUGAUGAAGGCCGUAGGGUUGUAAAGCUCUUUUACCCGGGAUGAUAAUGACAGUACCGGGAGAAUAAGCUCCGGCUAACUCCGUG
This 433-nucleotide ribosomal RNA is filed under the name uncultured bacterium. Its description in RNAcentral is "partial 16S ribosomal RNA". It matches the Rfam family "Bacterial small subunit ribosomal RNA", at positions 29 to 507 of the family's 1533-position model. The record is from RNAcentral.